RNAcentral lists this ribosomal RNA (387 nucleotides) under Lizzia sp. RNAcentral describes it as "partial small subunit ribosomal RNA". It matches the Rfam family "Eukaryotic small subunit ribosomal RNA", at positions 582 to 975 of the family's 1831-position model. The record is from RNAcentral. Lineage: Eukaryota; Metazoa; Cnidaria; Hydrozoa; Anthoathecata; Bougainvilliidae.
AUUCCAGCUCCAAUAGCGUAUAUUAAAGUUGUUGCAGUUAAAAAGCUCGUAGUUGGAUUUCGGAAUGGGUCAGUUGGUCCGCCGCAAGGUGAGUUACUGACUGAUUUGUUCUUCUUCGCAAAGACUGCGUGUGCUCUUUACUGAGUGUACGUAGGAUUUACGACGUUUACUUUGAAAAAAUUAGAGUGUUCAAAGCAGGCUAUCGCUUGAAUACAUGAGCAUGGAAUAAUGGAAUAGGACUUUGGUUCUAUUUUGUUGGUUUCUAGGACCGAAGUAAUGAUUAAGAGGGACAAUUGGGGGCAUCCGUAUUUCGUUGUCAGAGGUGAAAUUCUUGGAUUUACGAAAGACGAACAACUGCGAAAGCACUUGCCAAGAGUGUUUUCAUCG